AUGAACGCUGGCGGCGUGCCUCAUACAUGCAGGUCGAGCGAACAGACGAGGAGCUUGCUCCUUUGACGUUAGCGGCGGACGGGUGAGUAACACGUAGGUAACCUACCUAUAAGACUGGGAUAACUUCGGGAAACCGGAGCUAAUACCGGAUAAUAUUUCGAACCGCAUGGUUCGAUAGUGAAAGAUGGCUUUGCUAUCACUUAUAGAUGGACCUGCGCCGUAUUAGCUAGUUGGUAAGGUAACGGCUUACCAAGGCAACGAUACGUAGCCGACCUGAGAGGGUGAUCGGCCACACUGGAACUGAGACACGGUCCAGACUCCUACGGGAGGCAGCAGUAGGGAAUCUUCCGCAAUGGGCGAAAGCCUGACGGAGCAACGCCGCGUGAGUGAUGAAGGUCUUCGGAUCGUAAAACUCUGUUAUUAGGGAAGAACAAACGUGUAAGUAACUGUGCACGUCUUGACGGUACCUAAUCAGAAAGCCACGGCUAACUACGUG
RNAcentral lists this ribosomal RNA (496 nucleotides) under uncultured bacterium. RNAcentral's name for it is "partial 16S ribosomal RNA". It matches the Rfam family "Bacterial small subunit ribosomal RNA", at positions 29 to 507 of the family's 1533-position model. The record is from RNAcentral.